ACCCUGACCGAGCAACGCCGCGUGAGUGAAGAAGGUUUUCGGAUCGUAAAGCUCUGUUGUUAAGGAAGAACGAGUGUGAGAAUGGAAAGUUCAUGCUGUGACGGUACUUAACCAGAAAGGGACGGCUAACUACGGGCCAGCAGCCGCGGUAAUACGUAGGUCCCGAGCGUUGUCCGGAUUUAUUGGGCGUAAAGCGAGCGCAGGCGGUUAGAAAAGUCUGAAGUGAAAGGCAGUGGCUCAACCAUUGUAGGCUUUGGAAACUGUUUAACUUGAGUGCAGAAGGGGAGAGUGGAAUUCCAUGUGUAGCGGUGAAAUGCGUAGAUAUAUGGAGGAACACCGGUGGCGAAAGCGGCUCUCUGGUCUGUAACUGACGCUGAGGCUCGAAAGCGUGGGGAGCGAACAGGAUUAGAUACCCUGGUAGUCCACGCCGUAAACGAUGAGUGCUAGGUGUUAGGUCCUUUCCGGGACUUAGUGCCGCAGCUAACGCAUUAAGCACUCCGCCUGGGAAUACGACCGCAAGGUUGAAACUCAAAGGAAUUGACGGGGCCCGCACAAGCGGUGGACUGUGGUUUAAUUCAAGCA
This 582-nucleotide ribosomal RNA is filed under the name Streptococcus anginosus. RNAcentral's name for it is "bacterial SSU rRNA". It matches the Rfam family "Bacterial small subunit ribosomal RNA", at positions 380 to 957 of the family's 1533-position model. The record is from RNAcentral. Lineage: Bacteria; Bacillati; Bacillota; Bacilli; Lactobacillales; Streptococcaceae.